This 253-nucleotide ribosomal RNA is filed under the name uncultured bacterium. RNAcentral's name for it is "partial 16S ribosomal RNA". It matches the Rfam family "Bacterial small subunit ribosomal RNA", at positions 524 to 776 of the family's 1533-position model. The record is from RNAcentral.
UACAGAGGGGGCAAGCGUUAUUCGGAAUUAUUGGGCGUAAAGGGCGCGUAGGCGGCAUGGCAAGUGGAUGGUGAAAUCCCUCGGCUUAACCGAGGAACUGCCGUCCAAACUGCUUCGCUUGAGACCGGGAGAGGUGAGUGGAAUUCCCAGUGUAGCGGUGGAAUGCGUAGAUAUUGGGAGGAACACCAGUGGCGAAGGCGGCUCACUGGACCGGUACUGACGCUGAAGCGCGAAAGCGUGGGGAGCAAACAGG